UACAGAGGGUGCGAGCGUUGUCCGGAAUCACUGGGCGUAAAGGGCGCGUAGGUGGCCUGAUAAGUAGGGGGUGAAAUCUCGAGGCUCAACUUCGAGGCUGCCUCCUAAACUGUCAGGCUUGAGCAGAGUAGAGGCAGGUGGAAUUCCCGGUGUAGCGGUGGAAUGCGUAGAGAUCAGGAGGAACACCGGUGGCGAAGGCGGGUCUCUGGGCCGAAACUGACGCUGAGGAGCGAAAGCGUGGGGAGCAAACAGG
This 253-nucleotide ribosomal RNA is filed under the name uncultured bacterium. RNAcentral's name for it is "partial 16S ribosomal RNA". It matches the Rfam family "Bacterial small subunit ribosomal RNA", at positions 524 to 776 of the family's 1533-position model. The record is from RNAcentral.